GUAGGGUGCGAGUGUUAAUCGGAAUUACUGGGCGUAAAGCGUGCGCUGGCGGCGCGUUAAGACAGGUGUGAAAGCCCCGAGCUUAACUUGGGAAUUGCGCUUGUGACUGGCGUGCUGGAGUGUGGCAGAGGGAGGUGGAAUUCCACGUGUAGCAGUGAAAUGCGUAGAGAUGUGGAGGAACACCGAUGGCGAAGGCAGCCUCCUGGGCCAGCACUGACGCUCAUGCACGAAAGCGUGGGGAGCAAACAGGAUUAGAUACCCUGGUAGUCCACGCCCUAAACGAUGUCAACUGGUUGUUGGUGGGGUUAAACCCACUAGUAACGAAGCUAACGCGUGAAGUUGACCGCCUGGGGAGUACGGCCGCAAGGUUA
RNAcentral lists this ribosomal RNA (371 nucleotides) under uncultured organism. RNAcentral's name for it is "bacterial SSU rRNA". It matches the Rfam family "Bacterial small subunit ribosomal RNA", at positions 527 to 896 of the family's 1533-position model. The record is from RNAcentral.